Molecule: unclassified non-coding RNA, 254 nt
Filed under: Glomus sp.
Lineage: Eukaryota; Fungi; Glomeromycota; Glomeromycetes; Glomerales; Glomeraceae
Description: partial contains 5.8S ribosomal RNA and internal transcribed spacer 2
Rfam family: 5.8S ribosomal RNA (bases 1-65)
Source: RNAcentral
GUGAAUCAUCGAAUUUUUGAACGCAAAUUGCACUCUCCUCGGAGAGUAUGCCUGUUUGAGUGUCAGCCUCUAAAAAUCGACAUCGCUGCUGUUUCGCGGUGGCGUUCGUCGGAAAUUGGGGCAUCUUAAAUCCUCUUGUUUUAAUCGAAUUAAAAUUUUCUUUUGUUUCCAUGAACGUUUCUAAGAUCUAUUUCUUUACACGUUUAAGGUAUAUUUUUUUACUAGACGCGACUAUCAUAUUUGAUCGCGUCCAU